AGCGGAAUAACAAAUACGGGCCAACAGCUGUAUGGAUUAGACGACAUACCAUACGGAUUGAACCCAUCACCUGUUAUAGCAAUUCUGACAUUCCCAGCCUCGGCUGCUUCCUCCGGGUACUCUAUAUCGAAUGACUUCCAUGCUUCACCGCCUGAUGGAUGUACAAUUUUUUUUGAAUUGUACCUUUUCCCUUCCUUGUGCCACUUCAUCAUUUUGGCAGACUCCUCGGUGAUGAAAAGGCGCUGCAGUCUUUUUAUAAAAUCAAGAUACCGAAGAACCUUCAUAGGGAUUUUUAGCUGCCGCUUCUGACCAUGCUCAUCGACAAC
Molecule: ribosomal RNA, 326 nt
Filed under: Triticum aestivum (bread wheat)
Lineage: Eukaryota; Viridiplantae; Streptophyta; Magnoliopsida; Poales; Poaceae
Description: partial small subunit ribosomal RNA
Source: RNAcentral